GUAAGCUACUAAGAGCGAAUGGUGGAUGCCUUGACUGGUAAAGGCGAUGAAGGACGUACUAGACUGCGAUAAGCUACGGGGAGCUGUCAAGAAGCUUUGAUCCGUAGAUUUCCGAAUGGGGCAACCCAAUGUAUAGAGAUAUACAUUACCUAUAUAGGAGCGAACGAGGGGAAUUGAAACAUCUUAGUACCCUCAGGAAAAGAAAUCAAUAGAGAUUGCGUCAGUAGCGGCGAGCGAAAGCGCAAGAGGGCAAACCCAGUGCUUGCACUGGGGGUUGUAGGACUGCAAUGUGCAAGAGGUAAGUUUAGCAGAACAUUCUGGAAAGUAUAACCAUAGAGGGUGAUAGUCCCGUAUGCGAAAAACAAACCUUAGCUAGCAGUAUCCUGAGUAGGGCGGGACACGAGGAAUCCUGUCUGAAUCCGGGUCGACCACGAUCCAACCCUAAAUACUAAUACCAGAUCGAUAGUGCACAAGUACCGUGAGGGAAAGGUGAAAAGAACUGAGGUGAUCAGAGUGAAAUAGAACCUGAAACCAUUUGCUUACAAUCAUUCAGAGCCCUAUGUAGCAAUACAGGGUGAUGGACUGCCUUUUGCAUAAUGAGCCUGCGAGUUGUGGUGUCUGGCAAGGUUAAGCAAACGCGAAGCCGUAGCGAAAGCGAGUCUGAAUAGGGCGCUUAGUCAGAUGCUGCAGACCCGAAACGAAGUGAUCUAUCCAUGAGCAAGUUGAAGCUAGUGUAAGAACUAGUGGAGGACUGAACCCAUAGGCGUUGAAAAGCCCCGGGAUGACUUGUGGAUAGGGGUGAAAGGCCAAUCAAACUUCGUGAUAGCUGGUUCUCUCCGAAAUAUAUUUAGGUAUAGCGUUGUGUCGUAAUAUAAGGGGGUAGAGCACUGAAUGGGCUAGGGCAUACACCAAUGUACCAAACCCUAUCAAACUCCGAAUACCUUAUAUGUAAUCACAGCAGUCAGGCGGCGAGUGAUAAAAUCCGUCGUCAAGAGGGAAACAACCCAGACUACCAGCUAAGGUCCCUAAAUCUUACUUAAGUGGAAAACGAUGUGAAGUUACUUAAACAACCAGGAGGUUGGCUUAGAAGCAGCCAUCCUUUAAAGAAAGCGUAAUAGCUCACUGGUCUAGUGAUUUUGCGCGGAAAAUAUAACGGGGCUAAAGUAAGUACCGAAGCUGUAGACUUGCGCACAACUUAGAUUAUUUAAGUUUAGAAUAUGAGAAACUAAGUUAUAUGUUUAGUUAUAUUUUUACUGAUUUUUAUAGAGUAAAGAUAGAAAUAAAACUUAGUAAAAUCAGUAAAAAUAUUCUUAGACUAAAGUUAAGUAGUUUAAGUUGUGUGCAAGUGGUAGGAGAGCGUUCUAUUUGCGUCGAAGGUAUACCGGUAAGGAGUGCUGGAGCGAAUAGAAGUGAGCAUGCAGGCAUGAGUAGCGAUAAUUAAUGUGAGAAUCAUUAACGCCGUAAACCCAAGGUUUCCUACGCGAUGCUCGUCAUCGUAGGGUUAGUCGGGUCCUAAGUCGAGUCCGAAAGGGGUAGACGAUGGCAAAUUGGUUAAUAUUCCAAUACCAACAUUAGUGUGCGAUGGAAGGACGCUUAGGGCUAAGGGGGCUAGCGGAUGGAAGUGCUAGUCUAAGGUCGUAGGAGGUUAUACAGGCAAAUCCGUAUAACAAUACUCCGAGAACUGAAAGGCUUUUUGAAGUCUUCGGAUGGAUAGAAGAACCCCUGAUGCCGUCGAGCCAAGAAAAGUUUCUAAGUUUAGCUAAUGUUGCCCGUACCGUAAACCGACACAGGUGGGUGGGAUGAGUAUUCUAAGGCGCGUGGAAGAACUCUCUUUAAGGAACUCUGCAAAAUAGCACCGUAUCUUCGGUAUAAGGUGUGGUUCGCUUCGUAUUAGGAUUUACUCCGAAAGCGAAGAAACUUACAACAAAGAGUCCCUCCCGACUGUUUACCAAAAACACAGCACUCUGCUAACUCGUAAGAGGAUGUAUAGGGUGUGACGCCUGCCCGGUGCUCGAAGGUUAAUUGAUGGGGUUAGCAUUAGCGAAGCUCUUGAUCGAAGCCCGAGUAAACGGCGGCCGUAACUAUAACGGUCCUAAGGUAGCGAAAUUCCUUGUCGGUUAAAUACCGACCUGCAUGAAUGGCGUAACGAGAUGGGAGCUGUCUCAAAGAGGGAUCCAGUGAAAUUGUAGUGGAGGUGAAAAUUCCUCCUACCCGCGGCAAGACGGAAAGACCCCGUGGACCUUUACUACAGCUUGACACUGCUAUUUGGAUAAGAAUGUGCAGGAUAGGUGGGAGGCUUUGAGUAUAUGACGCCAGUUGUAUAUGAGCCAUUGUUGAGAUACCACUCUUUCUUAUUUGGGUAGCUAACCAGCUUGAGUUAUCCUCAAGUGGGACAAUGUCUGGUGGGUAGUUUGACUGGGGCGGUCGCCUCCCAAAUAAUAACGGAGGCUUACAAAGGUUGGCUCAGAACGGUUGGAAAUCGUUCGUAGAGUAUAAAGGUAUAAGCCAGCUUAACUGCAAGACAUACAAGUCAAGCAGAGACGAAAGUCGGUCUUAGUGAUCCGGUGGUUCUGUGUGGAAGGGCCAUCGCUCAAAGGAUAAAAGGUACCCCGGGGAUAACAGGCUGAUCUCCCCCAAGAGCUCACAUCGACGGGGAGGUUUGGCACCUCGAUGUCGGCUCAUCGCAUCCUGGGGCUGGAGCAGGUCCCAAGGGUAUGGCUGUUCGCCAUUUAAAGCGGUACGCGAGCUGGGUUCAGA
This 2757-nucleotide ribosomal RNA is filed under the name Campylobacter coli. Its description in RNAcentral is "partial 23S ribosomal RNA". It matches the Rfam family "Bacterial large subunit ribosomal RNA", at positions 1 to 2615 of the family's 2925-position model. Lineage: Bacteria; Pseudomonadati; Campylobacterota; Epsilonproteobacteria; Campylobacterales; Campylobacteraceae. The record is from RNAcentral.